AAGCCACCAUCCAGCUUACAAUUGGUCACAAUUGACUGAACGCUCUGAGAACUUAGCUUGGAGAAUUCUGGUUCUCUACAGGUGGGCCUUAGAGACCUGGAUUCAGUCUUCCUCUUCCAUUCAGGAAUAUGAUCAAGUGUGCCUCUCUUUGGUGCUGCUCAACCUACCCCUGGCUAUGAGUACCCCAGGACCCCACUUGGACCUCACCCAAGGGGACAGGGGAAGAACCAGAUAGGGACAGAGGUCUCUGUGGUUUCUUCUGACCCCCACUGGUCUAGAGACAAAGAAAACUGUUCCAGAGAACAACCAGUGUGGGUAACUUUUCUGUGUUCUGACUUUAAAGACAACUGCUAACAUAGUGGCUUUUCCUAAUCAAGGGCUUGCCAGCAAAAUGGAAAAAGGAUUUGGAAGGGCCUCAUGUUUUAUAAUCUUUGAUAACCUUAUUUUAAAAUAUUAUUUAAUAGUGAUUAUUUGAUUGUAUAUAUUAUUUACAUAACAACACCAGUCUUUCCUGC
RNAcentral lists this long non-coding RNA (515 nucleotides) under Rattus norvegicus (Norway rat). Its description in RNAcentral is "long non-coding RNA NONRATT010978". Lineage: Eukaryota; Metazoa; Chordata; Mammalia; Rodentia; Muridae. The record is from RNAcentral.